UCUUAUCAAGAGAGGUGGAGGGACUGGCCCUUUGAAGCCUCGGCAACAGCUCGUUUGAGCCAGUGCCAAUUCCAGCAGCCGUCAAGGCUGGAAAGAUGAGA
RNAcentral lists this non-coding RNA (101 nucleotides) under Candidatus Salinicoccus stercoripullorum. RNAcentral describes it as "SAM riboswitch (S box leader)". It matches the Rfam family "SAM riboswitch aptamer (S box leader)". Rfam says of the family: The SAM riboswitch is found upstream of a number of genes which code for proteins involved in methionine or cysteine biosynthesis in Gram-positive bacteria. The SAM riboswitch acts at the level of transcription termination control. The predicted structure consists of a complex stem-loop region followed by a single stem loop terminator region. Lineage: Bacteria; Bacillati; Bacillota; Bacilli; Caryophanales; Staphylococcaceae. The record is from RNAcentral.